This 528-nucleotide ribosomal RNA is filed under the name Klebsiella pneumoniae. RNAcentral describes it as "partial 23S ribosomal RNA". It matches the Rfam family "Bacterial large subunit ribosomal RNA", at positions 2230 to 2757 of the family's 2925-position model. The record is from RNAcentral. Lineage: Bacteria; Pseudomonadati; Pseudomonadota; Gammaproteobacteria; Enterobacterales; Enterobacteriaceae.
GGCCCCUGACCGGGGUUGCGGACAGUGUCUGGUGGGUAGUUUGACUGGGGCGGUCUCCUCCCAAAGCGUAACGGAGGAGCACGAAGGUUAGCUAAUCCUGGUCGGACAUCAGGAGGUUAGUGCAAUGGCAUAAGCUAGCUUGACUGCGAGCGUGACGGCGCGAGCAGGUGCGAAAGCAGGUCAUAGUGAUCCGGUGGUUCUGAAUGGAAGGGCCAUCGCUCAACGGAUAAAAGGUACUCCGGGGAUAACAGGCUGAUACCGCCCAAGAGUUCAUAUCGACGGCGGUGUUUGGCACCUCGAUGUCGGCUCAUCACAUCCUGGGGCUGAAGUAGGUCCCAAGGGUAUGGCUGUUCGCCAUUUAAAGUGGUACGCGAGCUGGGUUUAGAACGUCGUGAGACAGUUCGGUCCCUAUCUGCCGUGGGCGCUGGAGAAUUGAGGGGGGCUGCUCCUAGUACGAGAGGACCGGAGUGGACGCAUCACUGGUGUUCGGGUUGUCAUGCCAAUGGCACUGCCCGGUAGCUAAAUGCG